ACAGCUCUGUUCCAAAAUGCCUCAACUAUACAACUUACUGCACAUGAGGAGAUACAUACCACUGAUUAUCACUGUAGCAUCAGGUGUAUUUGCAGAUACAAUUGGACCGAGGGAGGAAGAUGGCAACAUUAUCAGUAAAGAAACAGACAUUGUUACUUUGAAAUGUUCUUACGAGUCAACCAGCAAUGACAUUUUGCUUUACUGGUUCAGACAGCGCUCUAACAGAGCACCACAGUAUUUACUGUACAGAGGCGCAAAGUCAUAUAGCAGCUACAAGAGCACUCCUGCUGACACUCGACUCGAGGCAAAAACAACUGAUACAUCUACUGAACUUACUAUCAGUGGCCUAAAGCUCACAGACACUGCGCUCUACUACUGUGCUCUUAGAGAGGAAAUUGAUUUUGCAUGUGUUGAUCUGAGAGAUUCAAACAUAGCAACAACAAAACUGAUAGCUAUCCCAUCUUUCCAUGGAAGAAAUAAUAGUGAUACUACAAGGUCCUGUAGUCUACUCCAUAAUUAUUCAGCACAAUCUUAA
Colossoma macropomum (tambaqui) is the source of this 535-nucleotide non-coding RNA. Lineage: Eukaryota; Metazoa; Chordata; Actinopteri; Characiformes; Serrasalmidae. The record is from the annotation of a RefSeq genome assembly.